CCUACCUACACACCUGUUCCCAUCUCCCUCAUUAGAACCCCUGCACACCAGCUCUUUUGCCUCAAUGUUGCCUUAUCAUACCUUGCAGUUGUCACAGCAGACACCAUGGGCACACUCGGCUUCAGCUUUCAGAGUGCAGUUGUUGGCAUUACAGCAGGGGCUGGUGCACUCCUACACAAAGAAGUAACCAUUGCCGCAGCGCUGCCCUCCAUACAUGGCUCUGGUGUUGGGCAAGUUGAAGAGACACUUCCCCCCUCCAGAGCUCAGACUGGUAGUCGGAGCACAUGGCUUUGAGAGGUGCCAGGCCGAUGGUGGUGCCCUGGAAUGACGUCCCCCUGGAG
Monopterus albus (swamp eel) is the source of this 341-nucleotide long non-coding RNA. RefSeq lists it as uncharacterized. NCBI's taxonomy places the organism in Eukaryota, Metazoa, Chordata, Actinopteri, Synbranchiformes, Synbranchidae. The transcript is spliced from 4 exons. The record is from RefSeq and is a predicted model, not a curated record.